Stomoxys calcitrans (stable fly) is the source of this 965-nucleotide long non-coding RNA. RefSeq lists it as uncharacterized. Lineage: Eukaryota; Metazoa; Arthropoda; Insecta; Diptera; Muscidae. The record is from RefSeq and is a predicted model, not a curated record. The transcript has 3 exons.
UCAUAAAUCCAAAUAGCAAAAUUGUUAAUCAAUAAUACAAAUUCCUUUAUAGGUCCGAUUUCAGCAAAUUUUUUAAUUGAGUGUACAAAUUCUUUAUUUGGACAUAGUUGUUAAUUUUUCUAUGGAGAGCGGCCAAAACACCGUCGAUACUAUCGUCAAUAGUUAGGUUUUCGCAUCACCAAGUUAAAUUUGCGUGUUAAUUUGUGCCUCUUGCUAAAAAAAAUAUGUGUGAAAAAUUUAUUGAAAGAGUUAUAUGGAGAAAUGGAUCGCUUCCUUCAAAGAGGUAAACGUAGGAGCUCCAUCAAACUCAGUAUGUGGAGCGCUGAAAGGCAGGCAUGAGAUUGCAGCAGCACGGACUCGGAGAAAAAUUUGGCGACCGAGAGGCGAACACCAAAAAAGAAAAGUAAAAUCUUACAAAUAUGGAAAUACUUGAAAAGCUAUUUUCUUUUUGACAACACUGGUUAAAACAGCUCACGCACUGCCGCUGCAAGAGCUACCAAUGCAUCCAGAAAAAGUCACACUUUGGUGCGAUUUAUGGGCUGGUGGCAUCAUUGGACCGUACCUCUUCAAAGAUGAUGCGAAUCGUAAUGUGCCAUGGCGAGAGUUCACGUUGCGUCUUGCGAUUUAACGCCUUUAGACUAUUUUUUGUGGAGCUAUGAUAAAGCUCAUGUCUAUACAGACAAGUCCGCUUCAAUUGACGCACUGGAAGACAACAUGCCGGCCGAAAUGUUACAAAGAGUAUGCCAAAACUUUAAAUUAUAUGGACCGUACUAUCGAUUUAUAUAGAGAUUGUAUGUAUUUUUCUGAAUUUUGUUAUUUUUUUUUGAAAAAACUUCCUAUAGCUCUUAAAAAAUAACCCUUUAUUAGCUAUUGGUGGUCACUGCACAGUUCCAUAAAGAAAAUCUGUCAAAUAAACCUAAAAAGGUCAUAACAAAGAUUUGCUAAUGACUGUUUAACUAAACAGU